This is a long non-coding RNA of Chlorocebus sabaeus (green monkey), 1113 nucleotides long. RefSeq lists it as uncharacterized. The record is from RefSeq and is a predicted model, not a curated record. NCBI's taxonomy places the organism in Eukaryota, Metazoa, Chordata, Mammalia, Primates, Cercopithecidae.
CGGCCUCCCAAAGUGCUGGGAUUACAGGCGUGAGCCACUGCGCCUGGCCAAAUAAGCCAGCUGCAGAAUAUAUCCUGAAGUACCUGCUUUAUGGAAUUAUUCACACUAUUCACCAACAAGAAGAGAAAUGUUAUGAGAAUGACUUGGAUGACCUGAAAAAUGAAUGAGCUCCUUGAACAAGGUACGGUUAUUAAGUUUCUAUUGUGAAGUCAAAUAGAACAAUUCACUCAAAGGACACGAUGUUUGAUUGAGAACAUUCUUAAUUUUAUUUUCUUUAAUUUUAUAAAAUACACUUUGUAAGAUAAGUUUCUAAAAGUUUAUCCUUUAUGUGUGUUAAAAUUGCAAUUCUAUAUCAGAAAUGAAGGAAACACUUUCAGUUGAUUAACUCUCUUUGUGUGUGUAUAUAUGUGUAUGUAUGCAUGUGAGGUUUUCAGGGAAGGGUUGGUUAUUUGUUAUGUUAUUAAAUCAAAACAAAACGCAAGGUACGGAUUACUUCACUGUCCUUUAUCUUGAUUGGUUUCUUACAAAACAUUUUCCCUCUCCUCCCUCUAUGCAGCCUGGAAGCUUAUCUUGUAUACUGGUUUGAAAACAAGUAUCAAGUGUCUUUUUGUAAAGAUCUUACAUCUCCUUAAAUAUUUCUGAAACCACUUUGGGGGAAAAGAACAAUACAACUCUUUACAACAAAAGAGCUAUAGUACAAAUCUUUCCUUCAAUUAAAACCAAUCAGACUUUUUUUUUUUAACCCAAAGUUAACAAAAACAGGAAAAGACUGAAAUCUGGGAGCUAUUCAAGUUUCAAACUCUUUCUGCCUGUACUUUUUCCUGGAAGCUUACCAACUGAAUAGCUGAUGACUGGUGCAUUCUGUUAUGUGAUCUAUAUCAGGAGAAAAUAACCUUUAUGUUAAACCUAACUCUUAACACACCAAGAUAACACUGCUAAGUAAAAUCAUUUUCCAUUAGCUAGAAAGAACGAUUAGAUUACUCAAAUUGAGAUUCAAAUUCACCAAAUCUGUUUCUGCAAAGGCAGAAUACUUGUAGAAAAUCCCAAUAGAUUCAUUUAACUAGCCAAUUUUUAGUAUGAUUUGUGAUGCUUAAUGUCCAAUUUUCCUACUUU